GUGUGCAACUUUCUAUCUUCCGUGCAUCCUCCGACUGUCAAGAAAUAUGAAGGGUGAAAAAAAAAAUCUUCAUUCAUUCCACUUAAAGCAAUACAUUGUUAUGGAACGUGUGGAUAAAGGAAUUUAUGCAGACCCACAGGACCUGGACAAUCAUAUAGAAUUUGGGGAGCAACACCUUUCGGACUGCCUAUCCACUUCCAUUUUAUGAAGAAGAAUGCCUGCACAUAGAGAAACUGUACUGUAAAAGUGAAAAUGUUAAUACGAGUCACAUCUCAAUCACUGAAAAGAAUCGGUGCGCUUCUCCUGACAUUCACUGCAAGAUAAACACCUAAAAGCAAGAUGAUGAAAACACUUCCUUUGUUUCAGGAUCGGUCAUUCUACCUCCUGUACUGGAAUCCCGGAAACUUGGAACUUGGAAGUUUCUGUUUCUGCUUGGAAUCAAACAGUUGUCAAGUUUGUUUCCGCAAGUCAUCACCGAAGAGGCUCUGCGAUCUCUGCUGCCCUCCUCUGGCCACCGGGCGGUACUGCAGGCACUGCAGGUUCCGCCUCCGACGCGGCCACGCGCCGAGCAACAUGGCUGCGCUGUGUGCACGUGGCUGCUUACCUGCAGCGCGCGGCGGGGUGCCCGGAACCGUGAGGCACCGCGACGUGAAGGUGCUCGGUUGCCCGGGACGGGACGGGACUGGUGGAAAAGCCCGUUCAGCAGCUCCUAGGAAAGUCGGCAGCGUGCCGCUUGGGGUGACCCCGGAGUUGCUCCGUGCCGGUCCCGGGACGCUCCGCUGCGCUGCUCCGGCAGCUCCACGCCACCACCGCGCGCCACCAAUCGGCUGCCGAGAGCGCUUUUGAAUGGCUGGGAGGCGGUGCAGGGCUGGGAGUGGACAGCGACGCCUGUCAUUCCACCGCGGCAAUGAGCCAAUCGGAUGCCGCGAGGUGCUCGGGGCAGCUGUGAGCCGAGCGGGUCCGUUCCCGGGACUGCGAACGUGGGCAGAGAUGAAAGACAGCGCGGGAUGGGCGAGGGACGGCGCAGAGAGCGGCAGCGGGGCGAAACAGAUGCUCACACUGCUCACGAACAGCUACAGAAAAGAAAGCCUCCAGCCCGCAUGGAGCAGCAGCGCGUGCAGUACCGAAUCCUGUUCCAUGGGCGGCAACGGCGAGGACCGCUGCGCUAGUGCGCGUGCGCAGUGCUGGGGCGCGCGGCUGACGGUCACGUGCCACGCCGAGCCAAUCGGGUGCCGCGGCCCGCGCAGGCGCCGCUGGCAGGAAAAGUCGUGCGUGGUCCCGGGAUCCGCUCGGGCGUAAAGCCGCCCGAGGAAAUCAUAGAAUCAUAGAAUUAGCUAGGUUGGAAAAGACCUAGAAGAUCAUCCAGUCCAACCAUCCACCUACCACCAACAACCCCACUGAACCAUGUUUCUCAGCGCUAUAUCUAAAUGUUUCUUGAACACCUCCAGGGACGCUGACUCCACCACCUCCCUGGGCAGCCCAUUCCAGCACCUGACCACUCUUUCAGAAAAGCAGUAUUUCCUAAUGUCCAGCCUAAAUCUCCCCUGGCACAACUUGAGGCCAUUCCCCCUCGUCCUGUCACUAGUUAUAAGAGAGAAGAGGCCGACCCCCAGCUCACCACAACCUCCCUUCGGGAGUUACAGAGAGCGAUGAGGUCUCCCCUGAGCCUCCUCCAGACUGAACCAUCCCAGCUCCCUCAGCCGCUCCUCAUAAGGCCUGUGCUCCAGACCCCUCACCAGCUUCGUCACCCUCCUCUGAACACGCGCCAGGGCCUCAAUGUCUUUCUUGCAGUGAGGGGCCCAAAACUGGACACAGUACUCGAGGUGCAGCCUCACCAGGGCUGAGU
RNAcentral lists this long non-coding RNA (1846 nucleotides) under Numida meleagris (helmeted guineafowl). RNAcentral's name for it is "lncRNA (ENSNMEG00000008606.1)". Lineage: Eukaryota; Metazoa; Chordata; Aves; Galliformes; Numididae. The record is from RNAcentral.